AACGAACGUUAGCGGCGCGCCUAACACAUGCAAGUCGAGCGAGAAAGGGCUUCGGCCCCGGUAAAGCGGCGCACGGGUGCGUAACGCGUGGGAAUCUGCCCUUGGGUUCGGAAUAACAGUUAGAAAUGACUGCUAAUACCGAAUGAUGUCUUCGGACCAAAGAUUUAUCGCCCAAGGAUGAGCCCCGCGUCGGAUUAGCUGGUUGGUGAGGUAAAGGCUCACCAAGGCGACGAUCCGUAGCUGGUCUGAGAGGAUGAUCAGCCACACUGGGACUGAGACACGGCCCAGACUCCUACGGGAGGCAGCAGUGGGGAAUAUUGGACAAUGGCGAAAGCCUGAUCCAGCAAUGCCGCGUGAGUGAUGAAGGCCUUAGGGUUGUAAAGCUCUUUUACCCGGGAUGAUAAUGACAGUACCGGGAGAAUAAGCCCCCGGCUAAACUCCGUGCCAGCAGCCGCGGUAAU
Molecule: ribosomal RNA, 461 nt
Filed under: uncultured bacterium
Lineage: Bacteria
Description: bacterial SSU rRNA
Rfam family: Bacterial small subunit ribosomal RNA
Source: RNAcentral